Molecule: non-coding RNA, 261 nt
Organism: Cinara cedri
Lineage: Eukaryota; Metazoa; Arthropoda; Insecta; Hemiptera; Aphididae
Source: the annotation of a GenBank genome assembly
UUUUUUUACAUAUUAUUAAUAAGCUAUAUCACAUUAUUGUUAGUAUAAUUACUCUAACAACGCUUGCAACAAUCGCAAUAUCAAAUUGUAUAUUAUUUUUUUAUACACAUUAUGGUGGAAUUGUAUGAUUUAGACUGAUAUGGCUAAUUAUUGUCUUCAUUCCCAGCACUGUUAUUACUUUCUCAGAUUAAUCGCCGUCGGCAUUCUGUUGACCUUGGACAAUCCCUCGCUACAUUCUUGCACUCCCAGUCUAUCAACGUU